RNAcentral lists this ribosomal RNA (432 nucleotides) under uncultured soil bacterium. Its description in RNAcentral is "bacterial SSU rRNA". It matches the Rfam family "Bacterial small subunit ribosomal RNA", at positions 50 to 526 of the family's 1533-position model. The record is from RNAcentral.
AACACAUGCAAGUCGAACGGGCGUAGCAAUACGUCAGUGGCAGACGGGUGAGUAACACGUGGGAACGUACCUCUUGGUUCGGAACAACACAGGGAAACUUGUGCUGAUACCGGAUAAGCCCUUACGGGGAAAGAUUUAUCGCCGAGAGAUCGGCCCGCGUCUGAUUAGCUAGUUGGUAGGGUAAUGGCCUACCAAGGCGACGAUCAGUAGCUGGUCUGAGAGGAUGAUCAGCCACAUUGGGACUGAGACACGGCCCAAACUCCUACGGGAGGCAGCAGUGGGGAAUAUUGGACAAUGGGGGCAACCCUGAUCCAGCCAUGCCGCGUGAGUGAUGAAGGCCCUAGGGUUGUAAAGCUCUUUUGUGCGGGAAGAUAAUGACGGUACCGCAAGAAUAAGCCCCGGCUAACUUCGUGCCAGCCGCCGCGGUAAUUC